UACGUUAGCGGCGGACGGGUGAGUAACACGUGGGUAACCUACCUAUAAGACUGGGAUAACUUCGGGAAACCGGAGCUAAUACCGGAUAAUAUUUCGAACCGCAUGGUUCGAUAGUUAAAGAUGGUUUUGCUAUCACUUAUAGAUGGACCUGCGCCGUAUUAGCUAGUUGGUAAGGUAACGGCUUACCAAGGCGACGAUACGUAGCCGACCUGAGAGGGUGAUCGGCCACACUGGAACUGAGACACGGUCCAGACUCCUACGGGAGGCAGCAGCC
RNAcentral lists this ribosomal RNA (274 nucleotides) under uncultured Staphylococcus sp. RNAcentral's name for it is "partial 16S ribosomal RNA". It matches the Rfam family "Bacterial small subunit ribosomal RNA", at positions 88 to 355 of the family's 1533-position model. Lineage: Bacteria; Bacillati; Bacillota; Bacilli; Caryophanales; Staphylococcaceae. The record is from RNAcentral.